GGCCUUCGUAUACGAUACGGAAAGGUACUCUCCUCCCUUGCGAGAUCGGCCCUUGAUGCGGAAGAAGCCGGAAAUGCUGCAUCACGCUGGAACUGCUAUGGGUUCACGCAAGGAACUGCUGCCUUAGUUUUAAUGCGUUAGUCUAUCAUCGCCGCUGAAACUGCCUGGGCUAACUUGUGCCUUUUGUUUUGUGCUGAUCAUGAAACUAUAAAUAGAUGUAUUCAUUAAACCGGUAGAGAAUAAGAUCGGAAUUCUGUUUCAGCUUAAUUCUGUAACCCGAGUGAUUCAGCUUUGGCAUUGUUUAUGACUCACGUAGAAAUUUUUUAAUCGAAUAUUUUAGCUUUUAUGAUUGUAACAUUUACAUGUGG
Long non-coding RNA from Dendrobium catenatum, 368 nucleotides. RefSeq lists it as uncharacterized. NCBI's taxonomy places the organism in Eukaryota, Viridiplantae, Streptophyta, Magnoliopsida, Asparagales, Orchidaceae. The transcript has 2 exons. The record is from RefSeq and is a predicted model, not a curated record.